GACGAACGCUGGCGGCGUGCUUAACACAUGCAAGUCGAACGGAAAGGCCCUGCUUUUGUGGGGUGCUCGAGUGGCGAACGGGUGAGUAACACGUUAGUAACCUGCCCUUGACUUUGGGAUAACUUCAGGAAACUGGGGCUAAUACCGGAUAGGAGCUCCUGCUGCAUGGUGGGGGUUGGAAAGUUUCGGCGGUUGGGGAUGGACUCGCGGCUUAUCAGCUUGUUGGUGGGGUAGUGGCUUACCAAGGCUUUGACGGGUAGCCGGCCUGAGAGGGUGACCGGCAACAUUGGGACUGAGAUACGGCCCGGACUCCAAAGGGAGGCAGAAGAGGGGAAUAUUGCACAAUAGGCGGAAGCCUGAUGCAGCAACGACGCGUGCGGGAUGAAGGACUUCGGGUUGUAAGCCGCUUUCGCCUGUGACGAAGCGUGAGUGACGGUAAUGGGUAAAGAAGCAACGGAUAACUAAGUG
This 468-nucleotide ribosomal RNA is filed under the name uncultured bacterium. Its description in RNAcentral is "partial 16S ribosomal RNA". It matches the Rfam family "Bacterial small subunit ribosomal RNA", at positions 28 to 507 of the family's 1533-position model. The record is from RNAcentral.